RNAcentral lists this ribosomal RNA (567 nucleotides) under uncultured euryarchaeote. Its description in RNAcentral is "bacterial SSU rRNA". It matches the Rfam family "Archaeal small subunit ribosomal RNA", at positions 727 to 1293 of the family's 1478-position model. Lineage: Archaea; Methanobacteriati; Methanobacteriota. The record is from RNAcentral.
GACUAAUUACCCGAGUAGUCCUGGCUGUAAACUCUGCGAGCUAGGUGUUGCGCAUUCUUCGAGAGUGUGCAGUAUCGUAGCGAAGGCGUUAAGCUCGCCGCCUGGGAAGUAUGGUCGCAAGACUGAAACUUAAAGGAAUUGGCGGGGAAGCACUACAAGGGGUGCGGCGUGCGGUUCAAUCGAAUUCAACACCGAAAAUCUCACCAGCAGCGACGGCAGAAUGAAGGUCAGAUUGAAGGUCUUACCUAACAAGCCGAGAGGUGGUGCAUGGCCGCCGUCAGCUCGUGCCGUAAGGUGUCCAUUUAAGUAUGGUAACGAGCGAGAUCUGUGCUCACUAUUGCUAACGAGUUCUUUAGAAUGAUCGAGCACAUUGUGAGGACUGCCUUGGAAACAAGGAGGAAGGUGCAGGCUACGGUAGGUCUGUAUGCCCCGAAUCUGCUGGGCUACACGCGCGCAACAAUGGUAGGAACAAUGGGAUACGACUCCGAAAGGAGAAGUUAAACCUCGAAAUCCUAUCCAAGUCCAAAUCGAGGAUUGUAACUCAUCCUCGUGACGCUGGAAUCCCUA